Long non-coding RNA from Silurus meridionalis, 820 nucleotides. RefSeq lists it as uncharacterized. The record is from RefSeq and is a predicted model, not a curated record. Lineage: Eukaryota; Metazoa; Chordata; Actinopteri; Siluriformes; Siluridae. The transcript has 3 exons.
UGGUGCUGUUGGAUCAGGAAUGGCUCUGCGCUAGCGUACGCCACACCCUAAUGCUUAAACUACAAAAACAGGCAAAGUGCAACCGUGUAAUAACUCAUCUCAGCCACAGGAAAGGCGCUCCACAAACCCUCUCAUUGUUAUCAUCUCAAGGAAGAAGCUCCACUACCCUCUCAAUACCAUCCCAAGGAAAGAGCUACACCACACUCUCAAUGUCAUCUCAAGGAAAGAGCUCACCUCCUCACAUCCCCAUCUAAGGAAGGAGCGCCACCACUGCCACAUUCUCACCUAAAGGAAGAAGCUCCACCACCCUCUCAAUGCCAUUUCAAGGAAGAAGCUCCAUUCUCCUCACAUCCCCAUCUCAGGAAUGGAGCCCAACCACCCUCACAUCCCCAUCUCAAUAAAGGAACCUCACCACCCUUACAUUUCCAUCUCAAGAAAGGAGCUCCAUUACCCUCUCAGUGCCAUCUCAAGGCCGGGAGAGAUAAUGAGACCAAAUAACACUGCUCCUUUUCCUGAAGACUUUCCUGUGAUUUGAGGAUCCUUCCAUACACUGAAAUCAGGCACCUGCCCAAAGCCAUCCCAAAAAAUGAAGAAUGAUGGUGGCAGCAUCAUGCUGCGGGGGAAUUGUUCUGCAGCAGAGACUUGGCAACUAAUCAGGGUGGAGGAAAAGCUGAAUGGAGCAAAUGGCCGAGAUACCCCCAAUAAACAUCUGUUUUACAGCCUAAUUGCUGCCGAAGGUGCUCCAAUUAAGUACUGAGCAAAUGGCCUGAAUAUUUUGUGAUAUUUCACAUUUAGGAGAAAAUAUAGACAUUUCUAGAAA